This 471-nucleotide ribosomal RNA is filed under the name uncultured bacterium. RNAcentral describes it as "bacterial SSU rRNA". It matches the Rfam family "Bacterial small subunit ribosomal RNA", at positions 330 to 794 of the family's 1533-position model. The record is from RNAcentral.
CCCAGACUCCUACGGGAGGCAGCAGUGGGGAAUCUUCCGCAAUGGGCGAAAGCCUGACGGAGCAACGCCGCGUGAUCGAAUGAAGGCCUUCGGGUUGUAAAGAUCUGUUGACAGGGACGAAUAAGCAAUGCGAAUAGUUUUGUGUAUGACGGUACCUGUUUAGAAAGCUCCGGCUAACUACGUGCCAGCAGCCGCGGUAAUACGUAGGGAGCAAGCGUUGUCCGGAAUUACUGGGCGUAAAGGGCGCGUAGGUGGGCGCGUAAGUCAGGGGUGAAAACGCCGGGCUCAACCUGGAGACUGCACUUGAAACUGGGUGUCUUGAGGGCAGGAGAGGAAAGUGGAAUUCCUAGUGUAGCGGUGAAAUGCGUAGAUAUUAGGAGGAACACCAGUGGCGAAGGCGGUCUGCUGGACAGCAACUGACGCUGAGGCGCGAAAGCGUGGGGAGCAAACAGGAUUAGAUACCCCCGUAUC